Molecule: ribosomal RNA, 914 nt
Filed under: uncultured Nitrososphaerota archaeon
Lineage: Archaea; Thermoproteati; Nitrososphaerota
Description: bacterial SSU rRNA
Rfam family: Archaeal small subunit ribosomal RNA
Source: RNAcentral
UUCCGGUUGAUCCUGCCAGACCUGACUGCUAUCGGAUUGAUACUAAGCCAUGCGAGUCAUUGUAGCAAUACAAGGCAGACGGCUCAGUAACGCGUAGUCAACCUAACCUAUGGACGGGAAUAACCUCGGGAAACUGAGAAUAAUGCCCGAUAGAACACUAUAUCUGGAAUGGUUUGUGUUCCAAAUGAUUUAUCGCCGUAGGAUGGGACUGCGGCCUAUCAGUUUGUUGGUGAGGUAAUGGCCCACCAAGACUAUUACAGGUACGGGCUCUGAGAGGAGUAGCCCGGAGAUGGGUACUGAGACACGGACCCAGGCCCUAUGGGGCGCAGCAGGCGAGAAAACUUUGCAAUGUGCGAAAGCACGACAAGGUUAAUCCGAGUGGUUUGUGCUAAACGAACCUUUUGUCGGUCCUAGAAACACCGAUGAAUAAGGGGUGGGCAAGUUCUGGUGUCAGCCGCCGCGGUAAAACCAGCACCUCAAGUGGUCAGGAUGAUUAUUGGGCCUAAAGCAUCCGUAGCCGGCGCUAUAAGUUUUCGGUUAAAUCUGUACGCUCAACGUACAGGCUGCCGGGAAUACUGUAGCGCUAGGGAGUGGGAGAGGUAGACGGUACUCGGUAGGAAGGGGUAAAAUCCUUUGAUCUAUUGAUGACCACCUGUGGCGAAGGUGGUCUACCAGAACACGUCCGACGGUGAGGGAUGAAAGCUGGGGGAGCAAACCGGAUUAGAUACCCGGGUAGUCCCAGCUGUAAACUAUGCAAACUCAGUGAUGCAUUGGCUUGUGGCCAAUGCAGUGCUGCAGGGAAGCCGUUAAGUUUGCCGCCUGGGAAGUACGUACGCAAGUAUGAAACUUAAAGGAAUUGGCGGGGGAGCACCACAAGGGGUGAAGCCUGCGGUUCAAUUGGAGUCAACGCCGGA